This 438-nucleotide ribosomal RNA is filed under the name Triticum aestivum (bread wheat). RNAcentral's name for it is "partial small subunit ribosomal RNA". The record is from RNAcentral. Lineage: Eukaryota; Viridiplantae; Streptophyta; Magnoliopsida; Poales; Poaceae.
AUGGCCGGUAGAAGCUCACGACUGGAGGAAGAGGAGGAGGAGGAGAAGGAGGAGGAGCAGGAGCAGGACGCGACCAUGAAGGACGCGGAAGCGGAGAAGGAGAACGACGACGCGUGCGAGGCGGAUCCGGCGCCUCCGGCUGCGGGCUUCGCCAUGGUCGACUCCAUGACGGAGUUUGAGUUGGCCCAAUCGGAGGAUGCAGUGGAGCAGCAGGCCAUCCUCGACUGGAGCGACUUCCUCCAGUCGAAGGCGGAGGUGGGGGCCAACUGCCGCUUCCUUUUCCAGGAGGAGGCGGAGCUCGAUGAGGUUUUCGUCCAAGAGGACAACGAUGACGCAGAGAUAGAGGUGCAUGUGGAGGCCAUCCGCCAGGAGGCAGCUCAUCCAACACUGCCAGCACAGAGCUCGUCGAAAUCUCCGACGAGGAGUAGUAUUGGCUAG